RNAcentral lists this long non-coding RNA (919 nucleotides) under Equus caballus (horse). RNAcentral describes it as "lncRNA (ENSECAG00000048295.1)". Lineage: Eukaryota; Metazoa; Chordata; Mammalia; Perissodactyla; Equidae. The record is from RNAcentral.
UACUAUCCACAGGCCCGAGGUAUCCAGUUACUGGCAUCCUCAACUCAACAACUCCUGUAAUGGGCUGGCACCCCAAAUCCAGACUGCACGGUGCCAAGCAGCCUCUGUUGACAAGGCUGCUCUCUCAUGCCAGUUGCAUACAAAGGCGGGGUGAUGGCAGGAAGACCCUUCUUCGGGGACGCACACUGGAAAGCAGGCCCAGUUACUGCUGCCCUGGCUCCCCUCCCCGGGGAUGAAAGGGAUCUCAGCCAAGAACGCAGACGAGGAGAGGGAAAAGGAUCUCUCCUCCCCUAUGUGUCCACUGCGACUGCCUUCUCUGCCAGGAAGCCUUCUGUGACCACCUCUCCAAUUCUGGGUCAGUCUCUCCGUCCUCUCACCUCCAGUGCCCCUUGGGAUCUGAUCCACUCCCUUGACAGGCAAUGGCCUUGUCCAGCUGUCCAACGGGAAUACAAUGGGAAGAAAGUAUUCUUAAAGAUGAUUCACAUAAAAUCUGAACAGUGAUGAGGCCAGCUCCCCUGCGCAUUCUAACGCGGAGCGGAGGGCGCCAGGAGCAGGGGUGGGAUGACCCCGGGCCAGAGUGGACAAACCUCCUGUUCCUGGAGCCGGUGCCCUGUGAGGAUGCGGACGUGGGCUUCAGAUAAGAGUGGAGGCGCCUGUCCGCCCUGGGAAAGCUCUGCGCGGACGUGAUGCCGAAGAUUUCUGGAAACGUCGUCGCACUGAGUAAGGCCUUUCCUGGGACCCACAGUCGGUCUGACUGGAAGGCUUAACUGCGGCUUCUUACUGGGGCCCUCCUCCGCAUUCCCCCUCUCGUGUGUCGUGGAACGUGUCAGGGACUGGAGAGCUUCCAGAAUGUGUCCGAAUACACCUCUGAGCUCAAGUUUCUUCUGUUUUUUGUUUGUUUUUGUUUUCUUAGUAUUAC